UGAUGUUCUUGGAUCACCUUUGGUGU
Molecule: non-coding RNA, 26 nt
Filed under: Rattus norvegicus (Norway rat)
Lineage: Eukaryota; Metazoa; Chordata; Mammalia; Rodentia; Muridae
Source: RNAcentral